UAUGGCACUGUGUAUUCGGUUGAAUAGCCAAUCAUUUCAAAUCAAGUUGAGCGGGUCUGCAUCGUUAUUUUGACGAAGUUUGAAACCAGUGGUAAUUUUUUGGCACUUCAUCUAGAUUUAAGAAGAUUCUUGCCUUGACAACUGCUCGAACUCCCGGGUUGGCAUGCUCUGAAGGUAUAGUGAAUUCAGUAUGCAGAUUGUUGAAGGGAAAACAUCAAGACGGGGCGAGGAAGACAACAAAACAUGAUUACCCAGAUUGAGGAUCCCAGUGUUCUUUGUCUCAAGCUACUCAGCCUACCAUGAGAAAAUUAAACGAUCUGUCAUAAAGAAGAGGCGGGUUCUCAACUUUCAUAUUAUAAAUG
Molecule: long non-coding RNA, 362 nt
Organism: Saccostrea cuccullata (small rock oyster)
Lineage: Eukaryota; Metazoa; Mollusca; Bivalvia; Ostreida; Ostreidae
Exons: 3
Source: RefSeq, a predicted model, not a curated record